AGUUGGUAUCCUGGCCUCACCGUAUNAACGCUGGCGGUAUGCCUAACACAUGCAAGUCGUACGAGAGUUUUUAACUCAAGUGGCGGACGGGUGAGUAACACGUGAGAAUUUGCCUUCAGGAGGGGGACAACAACUGGAAACGGUUGCUAAUACCCCAUAUGCUUUCGAGUGAAAUGAAUUUAUUCGCCUGAAGAGAAGCUCGCGGCUGAUUAGCUUGUUGGUAGAGUAAUAGCCUACCAAGGCGACGAUCAGUAUCUGGUUUGAGAGGACGACCAGACACACUGGAACUGAGACACGGUCCAGACUCCUACGGGAGGCAGCAGUGGGGAAUUUUCCGCAAUGGGCGAAAGCCUGACGGAGCAAUACCGCGUGAGGGAAGACGGCCUAUGGGUUGUAAACCUCUUUUUUCAGGGAGGAAUCAAUGACGUGUACCUGAAGAAUAAGCAUCGGCUAACUCCGUGCCAGCAGCCGCGGUAAGACGGAGGAUGCAAGUGUUAUCCGGAAUCACUGGGCGUAAAGCGUCUGUAGGUGGUUGAACAAGUCAACUGUUAAAUCUUGAGGCUUAACUUCAAAAUCGCAGUCGAAACUGUUUGACUAGAGUAUAGUAGGGGUAAAGGGAAUUUCCAGUGGAGUGGUGAAAUGCGUAGAUAUUGGAAAGAACACCGAUGGCGAAGGCACUUUACUGGGCUAUUACUGACACUCAGAGACGAAAGCUAGGGUAGCAAAUGGGGAUUAGAUACCCCAGUAGUCCUAGCCGUAAACAAAUGGAUACUAGAUGUUGAACAGAUCGACCCUGUGCAGUAUCAAAGCUAACGCGUUAAGUAUCCCNCCUGGGGAAGUAUG
RNAcentral lists this ribosomal RNA (843 nucleotides) under uncultured bacterium. RNAcentral describes it as "bacterial SSU rRNA". It matches the Rfam family "Bacterial small subunit ribosomal RNA", at positions 1 to 884 of the family's 1533-position model. The record is from RNAcentral.